This 254-nucleotide ribosomal RNA is filed under the name uncultured bacterium. Its description in RNAcentral is "partial 16S ribosomal RNA". It matches the Rfam family "Bacterial small subunit ribosomal RNA", at positions 100 to 353 of the family's 1533-position model. The record is from RNAcentral.
GACGGGUGAGUAACGCGUGGGAAACCUGCCCUGUACCGGGGGAUAACACUUAGAAAUAGGUGCUAAUACCGCAUAAGCGCACAGCCUCACAUGAGGCAGUGUGAAAAACUCCGGUGGUACAGGAUGGUCCCGCGUCUGAUUAGCCAGUUGGCAGGGUAACGGCCUACCAAAGCGACGAUCAGUAGCCGGCCUGAGAGGGUGAACGGCCACAUUGGGACUGAGACACGGCCCAGACUCCUACGGGAGGCAGCAUG